RNAcentral lists this ribosomal RNA (388 nucleotides) under uncultured bacterium. RNAcentral's name for it is "bacterial SSU rRNA". It matches the Rfam family "Bacterial small subunit ribosomal RNA", at positions 29 to 408 of the family's 1533-position model. The record is from RNAcentral.
AAUGAACGCUGGCGGCGCGCCUAAUACAUGCAAGUCGAGCGAGAAGACGUAGCAAUACGCUUGUAAAGCGGCGAACGGGUGAGGAAUACAUGGGUAACCUACCCUAGAGUGGGGAAUAACUAGCCGAAAGGUUAGCUAAUACCGCGUACGCUCCUUGGACUUCGGUUCAGGGAGGAAAGCGAUGCCGAGGGUAUCGCGCUCUUGGAUGGGCUCAUGUCCUAUCAGCUUGNGGUGAGGUAACGGCUCACCAAGGCUUCGACGGGUAGCUGGUCUGAGAGGACGAUCAGCCACACUGGCACUGCGACACGGGCCAGACUCCUACGGGAGGCAGCAGUAAGGAAUAUUGCGCAAUGGGCGAAAGCCUGACGCAGCGACGCCGCGUGGGGGA